CAUUUGCCAAGCGCGUCUUCAUUAAUCAAGAACGAAAGUCAGAGGUUCGAAGGCGAUCAGAUACCGCCCUAGUUCUGACCGUAAACGAUGCCAACUAGCGAUCCGCCGGCGGCUCCAAGGCCCUGGUGGGGAGCUUCCCGGAAACGAAAGUCUUCCGGUUCCGGGGGAAGUAUGGUUGCAAAGCUGAAACUUAAAGGAAUUGACGGAAGGGCACCACCAGGAGUGGAGCCUGCGGCUUAAUUUGACUCAACACGGGAAAACUCACCCGGCCCGGACACCGUGAGGAUUGACAGAUUGAUAGCUUUUUCAUGAUUCGGUGGUUGGUGGUGCAUGGCCGUUCUUAGUUCGUGGAUCGAUUUGUCUGGUUUAUUCCGAUAACGAGCGAGACUCCAGCCUACUAAAUAGUGCGGGCAUUGCUAUUGUGCCAUGCACUUCUUAGAGGGAUUGGCUGCGUCUAGCGGCACGAAACGGAGCAAUAACAGGUCUGUGAUGCCCUUAGAUGUCCGGGGCUGCACGCGCGCUACACUGGCAAAGGCAGCGUGCUUGUCCGUCUCCGAAAGGAGCCGGUAAACCCUUGAAAAUUUGCCGUGAUUGGGAUCGGAAAUUGCAAUUAUUUUCCGUGAACGAGGAAUUCCUAGUAAGUGCGAGUCAUCAGCUCGCGUUGAUUACGUCCCUGCCCUUUGUACACACCGCCCGUCGCUGCCUAGAACUGAGCCAUUUCGAGAAUAUUCGGGAUCGCCGGUUGUGUCGUCCUUCGGGGCGCGCCUCUGGCCUGAGAACGAACGUAAUCGCAGUGGCUUGAACCGGGCAAAAGU
This 815-nucleotide ribosomal RNA is filed under the name Hemicycliophora sp. TSH-2011. Its description in RNAcentral is "SSU rRNA". It matches the Rfam family "Eukaryotic small subunit ribosomal RNA", at positions 952 to 1789 of the family's 1831-position model. The record is from RNAcentral. Lineage: Eukaryota; Metazoa; Nematoda; Chromadorea; Rhabditida; Hemicycliophoridae.